AGCUGGUUUCUCAAGAAAAGAAUUUUAGUUCAACCUAAAGUAAAUAAUAUACAUUAAAAUUAUCUUAUACUUUAGAGUAAUUCAAAUAAGGUACAGCCUAUUUGAUAAGGGAUACAACCCCUACUAAUGGGUACAAUACUUAAAUCAUACCUUAAAGUAGGCCUAAGAGCAGCCAUCUUUUAAAAAGCGUCAAAGCUUAAUAAUAUGAUCACCAAUUUCUAAAUUUAAAUUCACCCCUUUUUUACUACUGAGAACUUCUAUAAUAUUAUAGAAAUUUUUAUGCUAAAACUAGUAACAAGAGGUAAUCCCUCUCUAUAAUGUAAACAUAAACCAGAAUGAACAAAUCACUGGUAAUUAACAAACUUAAUUAAAAGUAAUAACUCAUCUAGAAAACAUUACUUCACUUAUUGUUAACCUAACACAAGAACAUCCCAAGAAAGAUUAAAAGAAAAAGAAGGAACUCGGCAAAUAUUAACCCCGCCUGUUUACCAAAAACAUCACCUCUUGCUUUUAUAAGAGGCCAUGCCUGCCCAGUGACUCAUGUUUAACGGCCGCGGUAUCCUAACCGUGCAAAGGUAGCGUAAUCACUUGUCUUUUAAAUAAAGACUUGUAUGAAAGGCUUCACGAGAGUUGUACUGUCUCCUUUUUCUAAUCAGUAAACCUAAUCCCCCCGUG
RNAcentral lists this ribosomal RNA (675 nucleotides) under Pristimantis labiosus. RNAcentral's name for it is "partial large subunit ribosomal RNA". It matches the Rfam family "Bacterial large subunit ribosomal RNA", at positions 847 to 2055 of the family's 2925-position model. Lineage: Eukaryota; Metazoa; Chordata; Amphibia; Anura; Strabomantidae. The record is from RNAcentral.